Molecule: ribosomal RNA, 879 nt
Filed under: uncultured bacterium
Lineage: Bacteria
Description: bacterial SSU rRNA
Rfam family: Bacterial small subunit ribosomal RNA
Source: RNAcentral
AGAGUUUGAUCAUGGCUCAGGAUGAACGCUGGCGGCGUGCCUAACACAUGCAAGUCGAGCGAUCUUCUUCGGAAGAGAGCGGCGGACGGGUGAGUAACGCGUGGGUAACCUGCCUCAUACACAUGGAUAACAUACCGAAAGGUAUGCUAAUACAAGAUGAUAUAAGAGAUUCGCAUGGAUUUCUUAUCAAAGCUCCGGCGGUAUGAGAUGGACCCGCGUCUGAUUAGCUAGUUGGUAAGGUGACGGCUUACCAAGGCGACGAUCAGUAGCCGACCUGAGAGGGUGAUCGGCCACAUUGGAACUGAGACACGGUCCAAACUCCUACGGGAGGCAGCAGUGGGGAAUAUUGCACAAUGGGCGAAAGCCUGAUGCAGCAACGCCGCGUGAGCGAUGAAGGCCUUCGGGUCGUAAAGCUCUGUCCUCAAGGAAGAUAAUGACGGUACUUGAGGAGGAAGCCCCGGCUAACUACGUGCCAGCAGCCGCGGUAAUACGUAGGGGGCUAGCGUUAUCCGGAUUUACUGGGCGUAAAGGGUGCGUAGGUGGUUUCUUAAGUCAGGAGUGAAAGGCUACGGCUUAACCGUAGUAAGCUCUUGAAACUGGGAGACUUGAGUGCAGGAGAGGAAAGUGGAAUUCCUAGUGUAGCGGUGAAAUGCGUAGAUAUUAGGAGGAACACCAGUAGCGAAGGCGGCUUUCUGGACUGUAACUGACACUGAGGCACGAAAGCGUGGGGAGCGAACAGGAUUAGAUACCCUGGUAGUCCACGCCGUAAACGAUGAGUACUAGGUGUCGGGGGUUACCCCCCUCGGUGCCGCAGCUAACGCAUUAAGUACUCCGCCUGGGGAGUACGCUCGCAAGAGUGAAACUCAAAGGAAUUGACGG